This is a long non-coding RNA of Lates calcarifer (barramundi perch), 1467 nucleotides long. RefSeq lists it as uncharacterized. The transcript has 5 exons. Lineage: Eukaryota; Metazoa; Chordata; Actinopteri; Centropomidae. The record is from RefSeq and is a predicted model, not a curated record.
GGAGGCUGAACACACCUGCGGCGCGAAGGUGUCACCACUUCGUCCACAAGAUCAUCCACAAUCGUAGAGACAUGGUUCAUGAUCGGAGAGACAUUGUUGAGGAUGAGGGAGACAUCGUCCACGAUGAGAGAGCCUUUGACCAAGACAAAGGCCUCCAGGUGUCACCACUUCGUCCACAAGAUCAUCCACAAUCGUAGAGACAUGGUUCAUGAUCGGAGAGACAUUGUUGAGGAUGAGGGAGACAUCGUCCACGAUCAGAGACGUUGUCCAUGAUUGCAGAGACCUUGUCAAAGAUGAGAGAGACGUUGUCCAUGAUCAGAGCCAUUGUCCCAUGCUUCGUAGAGACCUUGCGAUAGAAUCGGCGGAGACGGGGGUCACCGAUUUGACGGCACUGCCCGCGAUCAUGGAGACAUUGUCAAUGAUCACAGAGACAGCGUCUAUGAUCUCAGAGACAUCGUCCACAAUCACAAAGACAUUGUCCAUGAUCGCAGAGACUUUGUCCAUAAUCUCAGAGACAUUGUCCGUGAUCACAGAGACCUAGUCCGCGAUCACAGAGAGCCUUUGACCAAGACAAAGGCCUCCAGGUGUCACCACUUCGUCCACAAGAUCAUCCACAAUCGUAGAGACAUGGUUCAUGAUCGGAGAGACAUUGUUGAGGAUGAGGGAGACAUCGUCCACGAUCAGAGACGUUGUCCAUGAUUGCAGAGACCUUGUCAAAGAUGAGAGAGACGUUGUCCAUGAUCAGAGCCAUUGUCCCAUGCUUCGUAGAGACCUUGCGAUAGAAUCGGCGGAGACGGGGGUCACCGAUUUGACGGCACUGCCCGCGAUCAUGGAAACAUUGUCAAUGAUCACAGAGACAGCGUCUAUGAUCUCAGAGACAUCGUCCACAAUCACAAAGACAUUGUCCAUGAUCGCAGAGACUUUGUCCAUAAUCUCAGAGACAUUGUCCGUGAUCACAGAGACCUAGUCCGCGAUCACAGAGAGCCUUUGACCAAGACAAAGGCCUCCAGGUGUCACCACUUCGUCCACAAGAUCAUCCACAAUCGUAGAGACAUGGUUCAUGAUCGGAGAGACAUUGUUGAGGAUGAGGGAGACAUCGUCCACGAUCAGAGACGUUGUCCAUGAUUGCAGAGACCUUGUCAAAGAUGAGAGAGACGUUGUCCAUGAUCAGAGCCAUUGUCCCAUGCUUCGUAGAGACCUUGCGAUAGAAUCGGCGGAGACGGGGGUCACCGAUUUGACGGCACUGCCCGCGAUCAUGGAGACAUUGUCAAUGAUCACAGAGACAGCGUCUAUGAUCUCAGAGACAUCGUCCACAAUCACAAAGACAUUGUCCAUGAUCGCAGAGACUUUGUCCAUAAUCUCAGAGACAUUGUCCGUGAUCACAGAGACCUAGUCCGCGAUCACAGAGAGCCUUUGACCAAGACAAAGGCCUCCAGGUAAUUCACAAACAGCUUUACAUCAACUCUC